This 30-nucleotide non-coding RNA is filed under the name Mus musculus (house mouse). Lineage: Eukaryota; Metazoa; Chordata; Mammalia; Rodentia; Muridae. The record is from RNAcentral.
UCUGCCGCGAGAAAGACUUACAAAGUUGUC